Molecule: microRNA precursor, 88 nt
Filed under: Branchiostoma floridae (Florida lancelet)
Lineage: Eukaryota; Metazoa; Chordata; Leptocardii; Amphioxiformes; Branchiostomatidae
Description: mir-2060 microRNA precursor family
Rfam family: mir-2060 microRNA precursor family
Source: Rfam by way of RNAcentral
AUGUGUCUGUAUGUAGAUGGUGUUCAGCACCAAGGACAGGAAUGUUUGUUUAGAUGGUGUUCAGCAUCAAGGACUAGUAUGUUUGAAG